GCCCUGCUGAACAAUGUAAAGCAGUCGAUGAAACACCUGCAGGGUCAGCUGAAUGACAUACAUGGAAAGUUUAUUGAGUUGCAGACUGCUAUCUCUCAGAUAGUGUCAGAUGAGUCUAAGAUACUGUAGAAUAACUCUAUGUUAUGGUGAGGAUGAUGAUUGAAAUGUUUGGGAUGGAUUGGUGUGAAUUACAUUAGAUUGCAAGUGGUAGAUUUUUCUUGAAUGACUGUAUGUGCUCUAUACUUCAUCCCAGAAGCCAACAUUGCUGCACAGACGGAGGUAAUCUCAACAUCCAAUCACAACAUCCCAACAAGCAGCAUUUCUGAACAGAGGGAAGAGAUCCUACCGAAAGCCGGUGUCCCUGUGAAGAAUAGAGACAAUCCUCCACAACCACCUCCCAUCAUCCCCAUGGUGGGACGAAAGUGGGAAUGGGAUGCUGGAGUGUGUACUAUUCCAAGAGAAGAGAUGUCCUGAGUAGACAUGUUGUGCAUCCUGCUAUGAUGUCCAUCACCAAGCCAGAACACUCCGAGGCCAACCCUCGAAGCCAGACUGGCAGCCGGGCCAGUGGCUGAGCCUGAGACCCCUGCGGCAAAGAACACACCAAACAAUGGUGGCUGGCUCAGCUGGUUCUCUGGAGGGGAAAAGAGGUUCAUCCGAAGGAGGCUCAUCUACCCGAGGACAAAGACAAAUCGAUUAUCUGGGAUCCAACCCUGCACAGAUGGGUUGACAAAAUUGAGCCCAAUGCUGAGAACAAGCCAGUACCACCACCUCCCCCGAUGGGAAUGAAUGGACAUCUGGGGAACUCUGGCAGUCUCCCCAAAGGAGUGAAUCCUUAGUCCAUGAAAGCAGCCUCCAAGCCAGGGACUUGGACUGCGUCCUCCCUCACACUCUACCCUCAUUGCACCUAUGGCGUUGCCAUUUGAGUCUGCUCAAGAUAGCUGGAAGAAUCUUGCCCCUGGUAUUCUAUCCUAUAGAGGCAAUUUUCCCAGAGUGGAUUUCUUUAUAAGGGGAUUUUUCUGCAUUUUCAAAGAAUAAGAAAAAUAUUUAGCAAAGAAAAAUAUUAUUUGGCGAUUGCCAAAUUAGUUCUUAGUUAAAAGACUCAAGCAUUUCCCUCUCUCUGUCAUUUCGUCAUGUUCACAUAGCUUUGAUAUGUUCAUCACUUACAAGCCCAUUGAUAAUGAAAUUAAUCAUCUGUGUAGCUCCAGU
Molecule: long non-coding RNA, 1206 nt
Filed under: Salmo salar (Atlantic salmon)
Lineage: Eukaryota; Metazoa; Chordata; Actinopteri; Salmoniformes; Salmonidae
Description: lncRNA (ENSSSAG00000085643.1)
Source: RNAcentral